Molecule: ribosomal RNA, 506 nt
Filed under: uncultured bacterium
Lineage: Bacteria
Description: partial 16S ribosomal RNA
Rfam family: Bacterial small subunit ribosomal RNA
Source: RNAcentral
AGUGAACGCUGGCGGUAGGCCUAACACAUGCAAGUCGAACGGCAGCACAGGAGAGCUUGCUCUCUGGGUGGCGAGUGGCGGACGGGUGAGGAAUACAUCGGAAUCUACUCUGUCGUGGGGGAUAACGUAGGGAAACUUGCGCUAAUACCGCAUACGACCUACGGGUGAAAGCAGGGGACCUUCGGGCCUUGCGCGAUUGAAUGAGCCGAUGUCGGAUUAGCUAGUUGGCGGGGUAAAGGCCCACCACGGCGACGAUCCGUAGCUGGUCUGAGAGGAUGAUCAGCCACACUGGAACGGAGACACGGUCCAGACUCCUACGGGAGGCAGCAGUGGGGAAUAUUGGACAAUGGGCGCAAGCCUGAUCCAGCCAUACCGCGUGGGUGAAGAAGGCCUUCGGGUUGUAAAGCCCUUUUGUUGGGAAAGAAAUCCAGCUGGCUAAUACCCGGUUGGGAUGACGGUACCCAAAGAAUAAGCACCGGCUAACUUCGUGCCAGCCGCCGCCGUAA